This is a long non-coding RNA of Neopelma chrysocephalum (saffron-crested tyrant-manakin), 476 nucleotides long. RefSeq lists it as uncharacterized. Lineage: Eukaryota; Metazoa; Chordata; Aves; Passeriformes; Pipridae. The record is from RefSeq and is a predicted model, not a curated record. The transcript is spliced from 3 exons.
GCCAUGGGCCUAUCCUUUGUACUCUGCUGAGCAGAGAGGAUGAGGAGAUGUGUUCUAAGACAAGGAUCCCAGGAGCUGGCUGCCAGUGCAACAACACAACACUUUUCCACUGCAACUGCUCCUGCUUACCUGGUAACUUGAAGUAAAUAGAAAUGCUGAAAGAGAGGACCUAAGGAGUGCAGGGUCUCCCCAUCAGUCACACAAGGGGAAGGAAGCUCUUCUGGAGAUGUGGUGAUGGAAACCGAGGUAUGAAGCUCCAAUAAUUAUCCCGGAUUCCUGAGCCCUCUGUCCUUCAGCGGGGCCAAUAAUGAAGACAGAGGAGAGAGGCCGGGAUGUGCCUGCCUGCCUGGAAUGCAGCCGGAGCUGAAAGCUGACACCAGCUCGGUGGAAAAGGACUAGCGAGCAAAGGCUGUCUCCAAGACAACAGAGUAUUUUCCCUGUGAUGCAUUUACACAGCGGGGUUAAAGUUCUGUGAA